RNAcentral lists this non-coding RNA (26 nucleotides) under Homo sapiens (human). Lineage: Eukaryota; Metazoa; Chordata; Mammalia; Primates; Hominidae. The record is from RNAcentral.
UGAGUGGUAGGUACGAACAGUUAACU